UAUAUUUCUUGUUCUUUUUCUUUUUCUUUUUCAACAUUUGGUAGAUGAUCAAAAGCGCUGCAUACUUUUAAGCGCUCACGUUUUAAGCUGAGGCAUGUUCAUAUAUAUUGUGUGUGUAUCAUCGGGUGUCUUGAUGCCUUCAGUGACAGCUUGUCGUGCAUAUUUCUCCAUUUGUAUGUAGUAGAAUUCUCUGCAGAUGCGUAGAUGAGGAAUAUGUUUGGAUUUGUAUUUUGGACAGCAUUCAAAUUUACGAAAUCAAGGUAAAACAUACAUAAAUCAUAAAAGAGAUAAUUAUAAUAAACAAAAACUAAAUAAUAAAACAC
Long non-coding RNA from Drosophila montana, 323 nucleotides. RefSeq lists it as uncharacterized. The record is from RefSeq and is a predicted model, not a curated record. The transcript has 3 exons. Lineage: Eukaryota; Metazoa; Arthropoda; Insecta; Diptera; Drosophilidae.